GAUCCUGGCUCAGGAUGAACGCUGGCUACAGGCUUAACACAUGCAAGUCGAGGGGCAGCAUGAACUUUAGCUUGCUAAGUUUGAUGGUCGACCGGCGCACGGGUGAGUAACACGUAUCCAACCUGCCGAUGACUCGGGAUAGGCCUUUCGAAAGAAAGAUUAAUACCCGAUGGCAUAGUUCUUCCGCAUGGUAGAACUAUUAAAGAAUUUCGGUCAUCGAUGGGGAUGCGUUCCAUUAGGUUG
Molecule: ribosomal RNA, 243 nt
Filed under: uncultured bacterium
Lineage: Bacteria
Description: partial 16S ribosomal RNA
Rfam family: Bacterial small subunit ribosomal RNA
Source: RNAcentral